UGCUAGGGAGAAGAUGCAUUUCACUCCUCCGCUGAAGAGGGCCUGCUGUACUGGGAUCAAAGUGGGAAUUACACUGAACACUUCUAGAAAGCAGGUCCUGGAAUUUCCUUCCUGAAGAAUUUUCAAAUUUUGGGUUGUUGGCCAUACAAAGGCAUAAAAAGUGAAAAUCCUUCAUACAACUUAAUUCCUGGCACUGCUCAGUAAUAGUGAUGACUGCUGUAUUGACAGAGCUUUGGUGGUGGUAAUAGAUUGGAUAUAACUCUUCAAAGAAAGUGGAAGAAACUGAUUUGAGACAGCCACAAUCUAGAAAAUAUGUUUUAGGGAACAAGCUAGCACAAGACUAGAUGCACUAAAAUGGCUUUCCUAUCUUUUACUUUUCUGAUUCUGUGACACUGUACUGUGUGCUGUUAACCUAUUAAAAUAAACUUUGAGUGCUCACCAUCGA
This is a long non-coding RNA of Aptenodytes forsteri (emperor penguin), 445 nucleotides long. RefSeq lists it as uncharacterized. Lineage: Eukaryota; Metazoa; Chordata; Aves; Sphenisciformes; Spheniscidae. The transcript is spliced from 2 exons. The record is from RefSeq and is a predicted model, not a curated record.